RNAcentral lists this ribosomal RNA (460 nucleotides) under uncultured bacterium. Its description in RNAcentral is "partial 16S ribosomal RNA". It matches the Rfam family "Bacterial small subunit ribosomal RNA", at positions 338 to 795 of the family's 1533-position model. The record is from RNAcentral.
CCUACGGGAGGCAGCAGUGAGGAAUAUUGGUCAAUGGGCGUAAGCCUGAACCAGCCAAGUCGCGUGAGGGAUGAAGGUUCUAUGGAUCGUAAACCUCUUUUAUAAGGGAAUAAAGUGUGGGACGUGUCCUAUUUUGUAUGUACCUUAUGAAUAAGGAUCGGCUAACUCCGUGCCAGCAGCCGCGGUAAGACGGAGGGUACGAGCGUUAUCCGGAUUUAUUGGGUUUAAAGGGUGCGUAGGCGGCCUUUUAAGGCAGGGGUGAAAGUCUGUGGCUCAACCAUGGAAUUGCGGUUGAAACUGGGGAGCGUGAGUAUGUGUGAGGCAGGCGGAAUGCGUGGUGUAGCGGUGAAAUGCUUAGAUAUCACGCAGAACCCCGAUUGCGAAGGCGGCCAGCCAAGCCAUGACUGACGCUGAUGCACGAAAGCGUGGGGAUCAAACAGGAUUAGAUACCCCAGUAGUC